RNAcentral lists this ribosomal RNA (454 nucleotides) under uncultured bacterium. RNAcentral's name for it is "partial 16S ribosomal RNA". It matches the Rfam family "Bacterial small subunit ribosomal RNA", at positions 28 to 507 of the family's 1533-position model. The record is from RNAcentral.
GAUGAACGCUGACAGAAUGCUUAACACAUGCAAGUCAACUUGAACUUCGGUUUGGGUGGCGGACGGGUGAGUAACGCGUAAAGAACUUGCCUCACAGCUAGGGACAACAUUUGGAAACGAAUGCUAAUACCUGAUAUUAUGAUUAUAUGGCAUCGUAUAAUUAUGAAAGCUAUAUGCGCUGUGAGAGAGCUUUGCGUCCCAUUAGCUAGUUGGAGAGGUAACAGCUCACCAAGGCGAUGAUGGGUAGCCGGCCUGAGAGGGUGAUCGGCCACAAGGGGACUGAGACACGGCCCUUACCCCUACGGGAGGCAGCAGUGGGGAAUAUUGGACAAUGGACCGAGAGUCUGAUCCAGCAAUUCUGUGUGCACGAUGAAGUUUUUCGGAAUGUAAAGUGCUUUCAGUUGGGAAGAAAAAAAUGACGGUACCAACAGAAGAAGUGACGGCUAAAUACGUG